RNAcentral lists this ribosomal RNA (371 nucleotides) under uncultured organism. RNAcentral describes it as "bacterial SSU rRNA". It matches the Rfam family "Bacterial small subunit ribosomal RNA", at positions 526 to 896 of the family's 1533-position model. The record is from RNAcentral.
CGAAGGGGGCAAGCGUUGUUCGGAUUUACUGGGCGUAAAGGGCGCGCAGGCGGCUCUUCAAGUCAGAUGUGAAAGCCCCGGGCUCAACCUGGGAACUGCAUUUGAGACUGAAGAACUCGAGUUCGGGAGAGGAUGGCGGAAUUCCCAGUGUAGAGGUGAAAUUCGUAGAUAUUGGGAAGAACACCGGUGGCGAAGGCGGCCAUCUGGACCGAGACUGACGCUGAGGCGCGAAAGCGUGGGGAGCAAACAGGAUUAGAUACCCUGGUAGUCCACGCCGUAAACGAUGUGUGCUAGACGUCGGGAAGCCUAGCUUUCCGGUGUCGCAGCCAACGCUUUAAGCACACCGCCUGGGGAGUACGGCCGCAAGGUUA